Molecule: ribosomal RNA, 255 nt
Filed under: uncultured bacterium
Lineage: Bacteria
Description: partial 16S ribosomal RNA
Rfam family: Bacterial small subunit ribosomal RNA
Source: RNAcentral
UACGUAGGGUGCAAGCGUUAAUCGGAAUUACUGGGCGUAAAGCGUGCGCAGGCGGUUUUGUAAGUCAGAUGUGAAAUCCCCCGGGCUUAACCUGGGAACUGCGUUUGAAACUACAAGGCUAGAGUGUGGCAGAGGGGGGUGGAAUUCCACGUGUAGCAGUGAAAUGCGUAGAGAUGUGGAGGAACACCGAUGGCGAAGGCAGCCCCCUGGGUUAACACUGACGCUCAGGCACGAAAGCGUGGGGAGCAAACAGGG